Molecule: long non-coding RNA, 764 nt
Organism: Hippocampus zosterae (dwarf seahorse)
Lineage: Eukaryota; Metazoa; Chordata; Actinopteri; Syngnathiformes; Syngnathidae
Exons: 3
Source: RefSeq, a predicted model, not a curated record
GCGCAACCUAUCUCGGUCUCUUUUUCUGGCGGGACCUGAACGCGAGCGGACGUAUUCUUCGCCGUUGUGAGGAAGUGUUUCGGGAGAAAGGGAGUCGUUCUACGCAACCUCGAGUACUGACUGGGCUAACGUAGCUGUUAGCAUUACGUACCGCCGGGAUUUCGCCGCCCGUAUAACAUCGUCGGAGUAUCGUUCAACGUUCUUCUGGCCGGGUCUUUUGUGGAGUUUCAAUUGAGGACAGCGCUGGGAUUAGCGUGCCUUCAGUGGAGUGGAUUCCAUUACGGUGCCCUGACGUCCAAAAGUGCUGGAAAAGGGGGUCCAGUGGUGGUGGCGAGCCAACCAAAGAACACACAAUAUAUUACAUUUGAUAAAUUUUAAUUUAUUUUAUUUGUGUUGGUGAUGUUUAGAAGAAUUUAUUUUGUACGAUAGGAGCUGACAAGAACAUUUUGUGUUUAGUUAUUUCAUUCAGAUUGAAAGAAAAAAAAAACUCACACCGGUGUUGAGAAAGGUGAUCACCAAUUAUUUUGUUUGAGGGAAAGGUCAACUAAGAGGUUGAGACUAAAUUGUAUUUAUUUACUUUCUUUUUUCCACUGUGGUUGUUGUGAUAAUAAUUUUGUUGUCCUGUGUCUGUUUGAUAUAAAAGUUAAUUGUUUUUACAACUGUUGUCUUGUUUCUUUGCCCAUGCCACCCCCUCAAUAGUGACAUCAUUGGCUCCAGUGAAUCGAACUUGUGUCCCCUUACUGGUCCAAGUAGAAACCCGUUGU